This 65-nucleotide transfer RNA is filed under the name Dipodomys ordii (Ord's kangaroo rat). It matches the Rfam family "tRNA". From Rfam's summary of the family: Transfer RNA (tRNA) molecules are approximately 80 nucleotides in length. The record is from Rfam by way of RNAcentral. Lineage: Eukaryota; Metazoa; Chordata; Mammalia; Rodentia; Heteromyidae.
GGUGGCUCAGUGGUAGAGCGCUUGCUUUGCAUGCAUGAAGAUCUGGAUUCGAUUCCUCAGCACCA